Long non-coding RNA from Meriones unguiculatus (Mongolian gerbil), 5276 nucleotides. RefSeq lists it as uncharacterized. Lineage: Eukaryota; Metazoa; Chordata; Mammalia; Rodentia; Muridae. The transcript is spliced from 4 exons. The record is from RefSeq and is a predicted model, not a curated record.
UCUCUGCAACAGACAAGUUGGCAAUGGCGUCAACUAGACCUGGUGUUCAAAGGUGUUCUAGGGGAACUGCCUACAAAGAGUGUGAGCCCUGCCUUAAACUGCAGCCUCUUCCCCAGCAGUUUCCUCAAGGUGCCAGCAGAGACCAGAAGAGGACACUGGAUCCCCUGGAACUGAUUCCAGGUGGCUGUGAGAAUGGUACGGGUGCUUGGAACUGAACUCAGGGCUUCUGCAGGAUUAGGAAGCACCCUAAACCACUGAGCCGUCUCUCUACGAUCCUACGUUCCUCUUUAAACCCAAGUUGUCAUGGUGCUUCCCCUGACAUCAGUGAAGGAAGCCCCGGCAUUGCCUGUGAUUCCAUUGUGGUGUUGUUACAAGUGACCACCUGAAGCAAAGGGCAGCACCCUCGAUUGACUCCUUACUCAUACUUACCAGAGUGGCCUCAGUAGUGGAUUGAAUUAAAGAAAAUGGUACUCACAGGACCAACAUUAGGGAAGCCAAGUCAGCAAAAGAAGGGCAAAGGCGGUAACCAAGGGUCCCUGCUCAGAGAAAACAUGGAGAAGGAAACAUACUUCAACCUGGAUUCAACCCUUUGCUACACGUGGUCUUGAGUUCCUCUUCCAAUAAGACAUCUAGAUUUAUAAUUCACCGCAAGGAAAGCAAACUUGAUCCUGCCACUGACAGACUUAGCACUCAUGGAACCACCACAGGCCAUGUUCACCUGGGCACACACUGGUUUGAUGUUUUGCACCCUCCUUGGUAUAAAAGGUAAGCAAUUCUCUUGCCGAUGGUUUGGGGUAGAAAAGGCUGUGAUGGCCAUUUUAAAUCCUAGACCACUCUGGAUACCUCUAAAUACUGUCCCCAGAAUUGGAAAAACCACUUUUACACCUAAAAAAGCAAGAAAGCAAGCAAGAAAGAAAGAGAGAGAGAGAAAGAGAGAGAGAGAAAAAGAGAAAGAGAGAAAGAAAGCAAGAGAAAAAGAGAAAGAGAGAAAGAAAGAAAGAAAAAGAAAGGAAGAAAGGAAGAAAACGCACUAAUAACAAUUCUCCCUAUACUGUGGUGUAGACAAGAAACCAGUUUUGCUGUGUCAAAGUCCUGUGCUUUCCUCCUUUUUGUGAACCCUACCCUCUGUAAGCCUCUGACAUUCUUACAAGUAUUUAGCUAGUUACCGGAGGGCCUUAUGGAGCCAAAGGGAAAGUACACGCAGAACACAAGAAUAACCAACAUUAAUAUGGCAAUUUCUUAUCUAAGACUGCAGCCUUCAAAGGCACACUCAAACCUGGCUUUGUGGCAAGGAUCCGCUGUAUCUCUAGAAGAAGAAUACCAGGGCUGGAGAGAUGGCUCAGUGAUUAAGAGCACUGGUUCCUCUUCUAGAGGACCAGGGUUCAAUUCUCAACACCCACAUGGCAGCUCCCAUCUGCCUUCUAACUUCAGUUCCAGGGGAUCCAAUUCCCUCACACAGACAUAUAUGCAGGCAAAAUAUUAAUGCACAUAAAAUAAAAAUAAAACAUUAAAAAUUUUAAAAAGAAUGCUAAGAUGAUUUAAUCUGUGGCAGGUUUGUUGGAAGCAGGAGGGAAAGAUGCUAGGGACUGCUAUAUUAGAAACCAAGCCACCUCCAUAGUCUAAAUACAUGCAUUGCAAUAUGCCAGCUAUAAACAAACUUUAAAAGGAAUGUGUGUCGGGGACAACUGGCAACCCUUCUACAAAAAAAGCCCAUGUGAAUCUCAAGAAGAAAGCAUCAGAUUUCUAAGCCCUCUACAUCUCAAACACAAAGGGCAUCCCUGUCGAGACUGGGUAAUUGAGCCAAAAAAUUUCCUUCUGCCGUCCCUCCUUUGUGCUUGCCGCUUAGCUCAAGGAAGGAAAGCCGCAUCCAGGUCAAGGAUCUGAGUCUGCGGUUUGAAGGACACCACGUCGACUGCUGUCCCAGCAAUCCCCAAACAGGAAUGCAAGAAGAUGGCUGUAGGUCUGAUCCCUUGCAUUGGAAGAAGAGGUGGAGGGAGAAGUGGCUAGAGAUGUGGUGCGGCUGACAGAGCACGUGCCUAUCACACACAACACAGACCCCGGGCUCACUCCCAGGCACCCCAUAGAACCACAUGUGUUCACCUGUAACUGUGAUCCCAGCACUCCGGAGGGGGAGGCAGGAGGAUCGGAAGCUCAUACAGUGACUCAAAGGGCAGCUGGCUAUGUGAGAGACCCUGUCUCAAUAAAUAAAUAAAUAAAUAAAUAAAUAAAUAGCUAAACUAUAAAGAACAAAAAAAAAAAAAAAAAGAUGGUGAGCAAGGGUGUUCCAUCUUGGCAACAAGCCUUCCAUCCUCUACCCAGGCAGCCCUGGCUUUGACAUAAAAAGCAGGUGUUAUGGAUAGAGGAAAUCCCUCCAGGGGCAGGGAGUAGGGGCAUCACAAGGCAAAUCAAUUAGCCUCUCAUCGUUUCAGAAGGAAACUACUCUCAUCAGUGGGAAGAAGGUGGUGCUACUUAACCUCUCUCACAGGGAGGGUGUCAGGAGGAAACUAAUUAAAAAGCACUCUGGGAAACAUGGAGAGAGUUCCUUAAUGCGUUCAGCUUCGCCGCUGUGAAAUACGGCAUUAUUCCUCUCAGCACAGCUCUCAAGGACACACCACCCCAACAGCCAACAGCAUCACUAGUUCUCUGCAGUGUGAUAUACUCACUUCUUAGAGUGCAGAGACUGAGCCCUUCCCUGAAAUGUCCUGGGGAAGCGGCAGUGUCUGAGCUCAGUCAGCCAACAGCAUUCUGCAGGGCAGGCGGGUUCCUUUGGAAGGUGGAUGACUAUGCUGCCAAGUUUCACACAGAUGUUUUCUGAUAGGAAGAAAAGGAUAUUAUUUCAGUCAUGAACCUUCUUUGAGGCGAAUUCCACAUGAGACUUCUGUCCCAGGUCACACUCUUUUGCCUUCUGGAGGUUGGGCUGAACAGACAAGUACAUCCCUUGAAUCUGUACAUACAAUGCACCUGAAGGUAUUGGGGUAGAGAUGCAAGAUGAGGUUUUCGGAUAUGGGGGAGGGGCUUAAAAGAGGAUGGAUCAAUGAACACUGCAAGAGAAAAGGGGUCAAUAAGUGUAUCACCGGAAACUCCCACCCUAAAAAGCAAGGCCAGUUACAGCAGCCCACCUCCCGGAAGGGUGGAACAUGGCAGUCCAACCUGGGAAGCAAUGCAUACAGCUUGAACUCUGAGCCCUUAAAGGACAGCUUCUCGGAGAGCAAGAAGCAGAGAAUGAUGCUCUGAUUGGUGACUUCCGAGCGUCCAGAGAGCAGAUCAAAUUCAUUGGAACUGUUUUUCUAACUUCAAAGAGAGCCAGGGCGUGUGAAUUCACAGUUCUGCCACACUGGAUCAAGGCAGGCUCUGCGCUCCCCAAGGAAUCCUUCCUGGUCCACACCACAUGGGGAGGAUGGGUUAGGAAGGCUCUGGAAGAGAGAGCUCCCAUCACCCACUCUAAAACAAAUCUGUGAUGUUAUGUUAUGUUAUGUUAUGUUAUGUUAUGUUAUGUUAUGUUAUGUUAUGUUAUGUUAUGUUAUGUUAGCGGAAGACUAGAAGUCUGUACCUGCUGCCCCUUCACUUCACACACACCUGCAACGACACAUCCAAUUCCCCUCACACCGUCCCAUCCUGGAUUGUAAGCCUACGUCAGGCAAUGGUGGAAGCUGUUUAGUGACAAGGAGGAUAGGUGGUCAAGAUAUGUUACCUGAUGAAAAGACACAACCUCGUUUAAAGUAUCUUAUUUUCAUUCACACCCAGUAGCAUAUAGGUCAACACAUAUAUAUGCAGGCCCAGAAAGGAAAGCCCUGAGAUCAUUAAAAUUAACCUCUGGGUCACUUCCUGGAGGCCUCUGGCUGUCGACUCUUAUCUUGCCAAAAUGAUGCAGGCUAUUUCCAGCUUCACAGACCAGAAAUGAGACCAGAAGUGAUUAUACCAAGGCCCCACACCUGGUGAAUGGCAGAGCAGGGCGGGGGAUCCAGCCCACCACCGCAGGCAGCCUCUGAUACUUUCGGACAUCCAAUUUUGUGUGCAUCUGCAUCUCCUACAGUAAACGUGCAUUUUUUUGUCUUUUUUUUUUAAACCAGGAGAAACAGCUACCUUUAUUUUCAGUGUGAUCAAAUACGUUAAAGGAAAAAAAAACUGUGAUUAUUCUAGAAGCAACAAACACACAGGCAGGCCAGUUGUGGUUCUGUUGCUCCUGAAGACCUCAUUUUCGGAAGUGUUAUGUACUCAACUGUGGGGUAACCAAAGUGUCAGCCUGCAGAUAUUCAGGCACAUUUUGUUCCAACUCCUUUCCUACUCAUUCUCAAAAACUAGCAACAUUUUUGGAGGAAGGGCAUGCUCAGCCAAGGGUGGAUAAUAACUAGGCACCGUGGCAGACUGGUGACUUUGUAGCCAGACUCACCCAUGCUUGAAUUGUCUGCUCUCAACCAGCUACUUGACUUUAUGUGAGUCACAUGACCUUGGAGGAGGUCUAAGUCUGUGUCCAUAAAAACAAAGCUGCUGCCACCUCCUUCCAGGGUCACUACGAAGAGCCUGUAAAAUCACCAUUUGUUAAGGCUGAUGACACAUUAGAUGCAGAGUGAAUAGAAUUUAUAAUUAGUUUAUUAUGAAGUUCCAGGUCAACUUCUUUUUUGAAUUAAAUUUUUAUUUUUUUACAUUAAUUACACUUUGUAUCCCAGCUGUAGCCCCCUCCCUCCUUCCCUCAUCUCCUCUCAUACCCCACUCUAAGUCCACUGAUAGGGAGGUCCUCCUCCCCUUCCAUCUGAUCCUAGCCUAUCAGGUCUCAUCAGGACAGACUGCAGUGACCUCCUUUGUGGCCUGGGAAGGCUGCUUCUCUCUCAGGGGGAGGUGAUCAAAAUGCCAGCCACUGAGUUCAUGUCAGAGAUAGUCCCAUUCCCCUUAUUAGGGUACCUGCUUGGAUACUGAGUGCCAUGGGCUACAUCUGUGCAGCGGUUGGUUCUAGGUUAUCUCCAUGAAUGGUCUUUGGUUGGAGUAUCAGACUCAGAAAAGACCCCUGUGCCCAAAUAUUUUUGUUCUGUUGCUCUCCUCGUGGAGCUCCGGUCCUCUCCAGGUCUUACUAACUCCCCCUUCUUUAAUAUGAUUCCCUGAGGUCUGCCCAAAGUUUAGUUAUGAGUCUCAGCAUCUGCUCUGAUAAACUGCUAGGUAGAGUCUUUCAGAGGUCCUCUAUGGUAGGCUCCUGUCCUAUUUCUUGUUUUCUCCUUCUUCCAAUGUCCAGGUCUACUUCUUGACUUAAACAGUUGCACAAUAAACUAAGAUCACUGUCCACA